CUUGAUUGUUGGAGGCUUUAAAGUCGAAUCGGAGGGCGUACUCAGUGACCAUCCCUUUCGAGUUGGUGAGCAGGAGUCCGGCCCCGCUCUCCUGAGCAUUUGAAGCUCCGUCGAUGUGCAGUACCCAGGUGGACCCCGGGUCAGGCUCGGAGAUCGCAGCUCCUCCAGGGUUCUCGCCUUCCGACCCUUGGUCGGUUGUCGGGCAUUCUGCAAUAAAGUCG
Molecule: long non-coding RNA, 221 nt
Filed under: Elaeis guineensis (African oil palm)
Lineage: Eukaryota; Viridiplantae; Streptophyta; Magnoliopsida; Arecales; Arecaceae
Description: long non-coding RNA (EGUI_LNC071445)
Source: RNAcentral